AUCCAGUUGACGAUUCCCAAAUAGGACGAAACGUGCGUCCUGGAU
Non-coding RNA from Schistosoma mansoni, 45 nucleotides. Lineage: Eukaryota; Metazoa; Platyhelminthes; Trematoda; Strigeidida; Schistosomatidae. The record is from Rfam.